This is a long non-coding RNA of Camelina sativa (false flax), 1125 nucleotides long. RefSeq lists it as uncharacterized. Lineage: Eukaryota; Viridiplantae; Streptophyta; Magnoliopsida; Brassicales; Brassicaceae. The record is from RefSeq and is a predicted model, not a curated record.
UUUUUAAUCAUAGAAGAGAGAAGAGAGAGAAACAGUAUAACUUCAUAGGUAUCUUUUUAAGCGAGAAGCAUCAUAAUGGAAAUACUGUUUCUCAAUGUUUCUCUCUCUCAAAUUUUUCAGAGAGAGAAACUCUCAUCGGUGUUCAAUCCGUCCAACAUCGGCUUCUUAUGUGUGUGUUUGGGUCGGGUUUUGUUUCCGUCAUCGACCGUUUUCUUUAACGGUGAUGGAUGGCUUUGCUUCCGGCAUGAGUUGGCCCAUUCGGCAAUUUCAUGUUCGGCUUUGCUUCCGGCAUGAGUUGGCCCCCUCGGCGAUUUCAUGUCUGGCUUUGCUUCCGGCAUGCGUUGGCCUCCUCGGCAACGUUAUGUUCGGCUUUGAUUCUGGUAUAUGUUGGUCCCCUCGGCGACGUUAUGACUGGAUUUCGUCUAGGGUUUCACCAUCCUGUUUCUCGGGUUGGUGAAAGCUAAAUCGGUUUAAUCUCUACGCCGUUGGUUUUUCUGAGAAUUGGAAGCUGAGAGGCUUGGGAAGUUCUUUCAUUUGCAGAUUAGAAGUUGAAGUUUAACAAAAAUUGAUAGAGUUCUCCAAAUUAUCCCUCAUCGGAUCUUACCGAAUUUUGAAGAAUCGAUGAUUUUCAGCGGUUUCCGGUGGUUUGGAGUUCCUUCCGGUGGUAGAUGGUAACCGGUGACGACAUAAUCUUUGGCUGUCCAUGUCUUCACUUUUCUAAGUGUCCCACGUGGAUCUGUGAUGACUCCUCAACAAAUCAAUAUCUCUUCCUUCAAGCUUGGGUUUCCUUCUUGGAUUGGGCUUUCCUUUGUUGGUCGAGGCCUUAGACCUUUUGUUUUGUAUGUUUGUUUUUAGUUACAGUUUAAUAAAAAUAAAAAUAGGUUAGAUAUUAGGAAGUUUAAGGUGACCGGAUUGCACUCAUGGCUUCGCUAGGUCGCGCGUUAAGUGUAAAUGUUCUUAGAACGAGGAUUGAGAGAUUUGGUUUUCCUUAUUCUAUUCGGGUUGUUUUUUUUUCUGUAUAAUUUGGCUGUGCUCUUGUACCCUUUCUUUGGGUUUUUAGGCUUCGUUUGUAUUGGCUUCUUGUUGAAAUUAAUAAAACUCCAGUGAAAAAAAAGUAAAAAAUAA